Molecule: ribosomal RNA, 253 nt
Filed under: uncultured bacterium
Lineage: Bacteria
Description: partial 16S ribosomal RNA
Rfam family: Bacterial small subunit ribosomal RNA
Source: RNAcentral
UACGGAGGAUGCAAGCGUUAUCCGGAAUGAUUGGGCGUAAAGCGUCCGCAGGUGGCAAUGUAAGUCUGCUGUUAAAGAGCCUAGCUCAACUAGAUAAGAGCAGUGGAAACUACAUAGCUAGAGUACGUUCGGGGCAGAGGGAAUUCCUGGUGUAGCGGUGAAAUGCGUAGAGAUCAGGAAGAACACCGGUGGCGAAGGCGCUCUGCUAGGCCGUAACUGACACUGAGGGACGAAAGCUAGGGGAGCGAAUGGG